Molecule: non-coding RNA, 73 nt
Organism: Melanogaster broomeanus
Lineage: Eukaryota; Fungi; Basidiomycota; Agaricomycetes; Boletales; Melanogastraceae
Source: the annotation of a GenBank genome assembly
GGCCAUAUAGCUCAGGGGGUAGAGCACCUGGUAUAAACCUAGGAGGUCGCCGGUUCAAUUCUGGCUCUGGUCG